CAGCAGCCGCGGUAAAACGUAGGUGGCAAGCGUUGUCCGGAAUUAUUGGGCGUAAAGCGCGCGCAGGCGGAUCAGUUAGUCUGUCUUAAAAGUUCGGGGCUUAACCCCGUGAGGGGAUGGAAACUGCUGAUCUAGAGUAUCGGAGAGGAAAGUGGAAUUCCUAGUGUAGCGGUGAAAUGCGUAGAUAUUAGGAAGAACACCAGUGGCGAAGGCGACUUUCUGGACGAAAACUGACGCUGAGGCGCGAAAGCCAGGGGAGCGAACGGGAUUAGAUACCCGAGUAGUCCCUGUCUCUUAUACA
This 301-nucleotide ribosomal RNA is filed under the name uncultured bacterium. RNAcentral's name for it is "partial 16S ribosomal RNA". It matches the Rfam family "Bacterial small subunit ribosomal RNA", at positions 509 to 809 of the family's 1533-position model. The record is from RNAcentral.